UCUGGCCCAAAGUUCCACAGU
Molecule: unclassified non-coding RNA, 21 nt
Filed under: Mus musculus (house mouse)
Lineage: Eukaryota; Metazoa; Chordata; Mammalia; Rodentia; Muridae
Description: oocyte_clustered_small_RNA11268
Source: RNAcentral